This 550-nucleotide ribosomal RNA is filed under the name Trichoderma sp. AH-Group-9. Its description in RNAcentral is "eukaryotic LSU rRNA". The stretch from base 166 to 319 matches the Rfam family "5.8S ribosomal RNA". Lineage: Eukaryota; Fungi; Ascomycota; Sordariomycetes; Hypocreales; Hypocreaceae. The record is from RNAcentral.
ACCCNUGURAACCAUACCAAACUGUUGCCUCGGCGGGGUCACGCCCCGGGCGNUNNNGCAGCCCCGGAACCAGGCGCCCGCCGGAGGGACCAACCAAACUCUUUCUGUAGUCCCCUCGCGGACGUUAUUUCUUACAGCUCUGAGCAAAAAUUCAAAAUGAAUCAAAACUUUCAACAACGGAUCUCUUGGUUCUGGCAUCGAUGAAGAACGCAGCGAAAUGCGAUAAGUAAUGUGAAUUGCAGAAUUCAGUGAAUCAUCGAAUCUUUGAACGCACAUUGCGCCCGCCAGUAUUCUGGCGGGCAUGCCUGUCCGAGCGUCAUUUCAACCCUCGAACCCCUCCGGGGGUCCGGCGUUGGGGAUCGGGAACCCCUAAGACGGGAUCCCGGCCCCGAAAUACAGUGGCGGUCUCGCCGCAGCCUCUCAUGCGCAGUAGUUUGCACAACUCGCACCGGGAGCGCGGCGCGUCCACGUCCGUAAAACACCCAACUUCUGAAAUGUUGACCUCGGAUCAGGUAGGAAUACCCGCUGAACUUAAGCAUAUCAAUAAGCG